GACGAACGCUGGCGGCGUGCUUAACACAUGCAAGUCGAACGGAAAGGCCCUGCUUUUGUGGGGUGCUCGAGUGGCGAACGGGUGAGUAACACGUGAGUAACCUGCCCUUGACUUUGGGAUAACUUCAGGAAACUGGGGCUAAUACCGGAUAGGAGCUCCUGCUGCAUGGUGGGGGUUGGAAAGUUUCGGCGGUUGGGGAUGGACUCGCGGCUUAUCAGCUUGUUGGUGGGGUAGUGGCUUACCAAGGCUUUGACGGGUAGCCGGCCUGAGAGGGUGACCGGCCACAUGGGGACUGAGAGACGGCCCAGACUCCUACGUGAGGCAGCAGUGGGGAAUAUUGCACAAUGGGCGGAAGCCUGAUGCAGCAACGCCGCGUGCGGGAUGACGGCCUUCUGGUUGUAAACCGCUUUCGCCUGUGACGAAGCGUGAGUGACGGUAAUGGGUAAAGAAGCACCGGCUAACUACGUG
Molecule: ribosomal RNA, 468 nt
Filed under: uncultured bacterium
Lineage: Bacteria
Description: partial 16S ribosomal RNA
Rfam family: Bacterial small subunit ribosomal RNA
Source: RNAcentral